ACCAGGCCACCUUUCGGCGUAACUUCGGCAGCGCAGCUAUCCUUCGCUCACCAGAAACAGCGGCACAGGUUUCCACUACCACUAUGGCGUCAACUGAGAUAGCAAGGCAAGCGGGGGAAGGUGCUCGUGCCGUCCCUCUGGCAGGCCAUGUCGGCUUUGACAGCAUGCCGGAUCAGCUGGUCAACAAGUCUGUCAACCAUGGGUUCUGCUUCAACAUCCUCUGUGUUGGCGAGACGGGUCUGGGGAAGUCCACUCUCAUGGACACGUUGUUCAACACCAAGUUUGAGGGCGAGCCCACCCAGCACAACCAGCCAGGAGUCACGCUCAAAUCCAACACCUAUGAGCUCCAGGAGAGUAACGUGCGCCUCAAACUCACUGUCGUCAACACCGUAGGCUUUGGAGACCAGAUCAACAAAGAAGACAGCUACAAGUCUAUUGUGGAGUUCAUUGACGCCCAGUUUGAGGCAUAUCUACAAGAGGAGCUGAAAAUAAAGCGCACGCUACACAGCUACCACGACACCCGCAUCCACGCAUGCCUGUAUUUCAUCGCUCCCACAGGACACUCGCUCAAAUCGCUGGACUUGGUGACCAUGAAGAAACUUGAUAGCAAGGUCAACAUCAUCCCAAUCGUUGCCAAGUCGGACGCCAUCUCCAAAAGCGAGCUUGCUAAGUUUAAAAUCAAAAUCACCAGUGAGCUGGUCAGCAACGGAGUGCAAAUCUACCAGUUCCCCACUGAUGACGAGUCUGUGGCAGAGAUCAACUCCACCAUGAACAGCCAUUUGCCGUUUGCUGUGGUGGGAAGCACGGAGGAGGUGAAGAUUGGGAACAAGAUGGUGAAGGCCCGGCAGUACCCCUGGGGAACAGUGCAGGUGGAAAAUGAGAAUCACUGUGACUUUGUCAAGCUUCGAGAAAUGUUGAUUAGAGUGAACAUGGAGGACCUGCGAGAGCAGACUCACACACGUCAUUAUGAGCUCUACCGCCGCUGCAAACUGGAGGAGAUGGGCUUCAAAGACACAGACCCUGACAGCAAGCCCUUCAGUCUUCAGGAGACAUACGAGGCUAAGAGGAACGAGUUCAUGGGGGAGCUGCAGAAGAAAGAAGAGGAAAUGAGGCAAAUGUUUGUCCAAAGAGUCAAAGAGAAGGAGGCCGAGCUCAAAGAGGCAGAGAAAGAGCUGCAUGAGAAGUUUGACCGUCUAAAGAAGCUCCACCAGGACGAGAAAAAGAAAGUGGAGGACAAGAAGAAGUCCCUGGACGACGAACUCAACAUGUUCAAACAGAAAAAGACUGCUGCAGAGCUCUUGCACAACCAAGCCCAGCAGGCAGGGGGCUCCACCACACUCAAGAGGGACAAAGAGAGGAAAAACUGAUGUGACGCCGUGCCUGUUAGAAAUGGAAGAAGACACUUGCACUGACAAGUUAACUCCUCCCACACUUGCUGCAUGCUGCAUGGGGCAUCUUUACUGCUUAGGAUUCCUGUAGAAAAGUGCUCCCUUGUGGCCAUCCUGCUGUGAAUGAGUUUCCACCCCAUCAUAUUUUUACAGUACCCCUUCCCCACCCUCACCCUCACCCAUCCUGCACAAUUCCACCCUCCACAUGCAAACUGCUUUCUGGAAAACACUGAGCAUUCCUAUCAGUUUGACCGUUUUUUCUGAAUGCUGGAUGCUUGUAUGUUAUAUGGUUUAUACUUUUUAUACGCAUUUACAGAGAGAGUAAUGCCUUUCAUGUUGAUUUUAUAGUAUUGAUAAAUUGCAUGACAGAGUGAGCUUUUUUGAAUAUUAACAUGGCCACUGUGGUGAUGGUCAGACAUGUAUUACGGGUGAAGUGAAACACGCAUCAGACAGUACAACCUCAGAAUUAAUAGUGGUAAAAAUCUGCAGAAGAUCACAGUAAAGAAAGAAUUAAGUAAAUUGAUGAUUGACGGGAGGAUGGAUUAAGUCGUCAUUUAGCCAAUCUCAGAAUAAAGCAAAGCAAUCACAAUGGUGAUCCUUAAUUUUUCGAACACCAAAUUUAGUCAAGUUUGUUAUUAGUUUAAUGUUCAUAAUACUGAAGAUUUUAGGCCUGUCGUAACCUUUGUAACAGCAGGUGAAGUUUGAUCCACGACCCACGUUGAGCUGCUACUUUGUCAGAAAUACAACUAACGAUUAUCUACAUUUUUUGAUCACCGAUAGUGGUUACGAAUACAUUGCGUUUAUGUGAGGGCACCCUUAUUAACGGUGGACCCCUCCACGAACAAUGUAGACUUAUUAACAAAAAUGAUAUCAAAAAGGAAGACCUAAUUUCAUGAUAUCGUACAUAUUAUAUAUAGACUUUUUAGACCUACAAUACACAUUUAAUCUGGAAUGUGAAUGUUUUGGUAUUUGUGUCCUUUUGCUGAUGAUGUUUCACUUUAUCCAGAUGCAUGAGUAGUUGUGAGUCUAAUCUCCUGCCACUUCUCCCAAACCCCAUUCUUUGCCAUAUGUUAUUUUCAUACUUGUAUUAGCUUUUAUAUUUGCACUUUUUUUAUACACAAAUGUGAUAUUUUCUAAGUAUAUAGAAAUGUUUCCAGUGCAACUGUAACUCUUUUUAUUUACUUACUAUGAAGGCACAUUUAGAAGUAAUUCAUUAUAAUGUCCAUAUAUCUCUUGUCUUGAAUAGACCAGUGUUUGUAUCAGUGUUAAAUAAAAAAAAAGAUUAACUCAAAAGAAAAUAAAGGCCAGUUUUUCACCAAAUGUAAUAAUUGUGGCCAUAAUCAUUGUGUAUUACAAAUAUUGCCGUAAAUUAGGAGAUUCAUUUUAAUGAAUCCCAAUAGGGACGCUUAAUUUGCAGGUUGAAUCGGUUUGGUUGAUCUUCUCUCCGUCCAAGUCUUGAGUCCCUCCGUCCCAAGGUGAAGGAAUGUUGAUGCCAACAAGCGCCACUGUUAUGACCUGAUUCACUUAUCACUUGUUGUUUUUUUUCACCCCUUUAAAGUCUUGGAUUCAAGACUUUGCUACCAGGGUAAAAAUACAUCAAGACAAAGAGCCAUUCCCUCCUCCUAAUCUUGCACUCACUGGUGUGUGUGGUUUCACUUUCCUUUGCAGUAAUCCCUGGCUCUGCACUGAGUAGGCCCUCAGCCCUCAAGCUUUGCUAAGGGACCAGAAUUUGUGGUUACUGAGUACCUCAAAUGACCAGAAGCUUUGCGGACCCCAUCCUUCAGGGUUUCUCAAUUAUUACCUGCUCUGCUAUCAUUUUGAUUAAUGUGUAUCUAUGUUUCACUGCUGCUCUAACCUCACCCUCGGCAAUUCCAAUUUUGCUGCUCAUUCUGUUUUUUUUUGCCUCUGCUUAUGUUUGUAGGUGCACUUUUUUUGGGCUGUUACUAACACUUUUUCCACUUGGGCGAAAUUAUAUGCACACUUGUUUAUUGUUGUGUUUGGAUAGUUAUUAACACUUUUUUUUCUUUUAUAAACUGGACCACAGGUGUGACGUGAUCAAUUCAGUUUAACAAUCAUUCAGCAUUGUCAGUGAGCACAACAUAUGGGAUGAUUUAAUCCGUACUGUGUUGCUUGAUGAUCCCAGGGACGUUUUUACUAACUUUGUAUUUCUGAUAAUCAAACCUAGAUACAUUUUCUACCUGAAAUCGGAUACAAUUCAAUAUCUCAAGCUUGACUUGUGUUUUUUUGUGAGAAUUUCUGCUUUCUGCUAACUGCUGGCUUUUUCUUUCUUUAUCUCUAGCUUCUUUUAAUCCGUCUUGACCAACUGAAGAGGGGAUUGCAGCUUCAGCAAGAACUAAGCACCCUUUACCUCUCCCUGUUUUUCUCGCUGUAUCAACCCUUUUCUAAUCUCCCCGUUGCAUCUCCUUUAUUUGAUUACGGCCUUAUGUGGACUCGCAUGGUAUUUCUAAACCCACUGGUGAAGCUCUGAACACAUGCAGGUCGGGAACCCGGCGCAGUUUAAAUCUGCUGUUAUGUCUUAAUGUAUAUAAAGAAAUGCUUGUAAUUAAUAGAAAUCCUCUGUUAGGGUUCACACAUUUCCAGGGUUCAUCAUUAUUUUAAUUACAAUCAUCUGGACUAUGCACUCAUCUUUUCAGUAGGAGUCUUAUUACAUUCUGCUGAAACAUUGAGGCUUGCUGAUUCUCAAUAAGUCAAGAAUAACUUAAUGCACUAUGUAUAACUUGUUAAUGAGUAAUUGUUGUUUUCUCAAGUCCUGUCCAAUAUGAAACCUGCGUCCAGGUAUUUUGAACUCCUGAAAUUUAAUUAAUGCAAAAGUCAAAGCAAUAUUGCUUUUUACUAGUUCAUUUUGUGGUGCCCAUGUUUACAAGUCACUGCUAAAUACCAUGGAGGUCACAUGUAAUGGCCUUUUUAUUACACAUUGUGCUUUAUUAUUCACCAGCCUAUUCUAUAUUUUUUGCAUGCAUCUUUUUAUUUGUUUACCUCUUUGAUGUUUGACCUGCUUGUUUUUUAUCCCCUAAUAAUUCUGUUUCGAAAUCUCGUUUAACUUUUAAAAUGCUUUUUAAAACUUUGAAAACGCUGUUUUCUUUAAAUUGUGCAUAUUAUACAUGUAUGUUUGCUCUGUCCUCUCAUCACACCUCCCUUUUUUGCCAAAUAUUAGUGUAAGUGGGAGUUGAACUGAAUCCGGGAUAGGAGUAUUAAAAAGAUACUCCUGCAUUUGUAUAAUUUAUAAGGAUAUAUUUUGUGUAUUGAAGUGGAGACUUGUGGUUUAUUGCCUAUGACGUUUGGACGUGAAUUUGAGUGUAAAGUAACAUUUUGGUGUCAGAAAAUGCCAUACAUUUUUCUAGUAUCAGUCAUCACCCCUUGUAGUCAAAGACUCUCCCACACUACAAUGAAUACAUUUGAUUCCUUUGAUGUACAUUUUCAAUAAUAAUAAAAAAAAUGAUCCGAACGUA
This is an RNA transcript of Pungitius pungitius (ninespine stickleback), 4858 nucleotides long. It is a transcript of the gene named septin 6, with no coding region annotated. The transcript has 12 exons. NCBI's taxonomy places the organism in Eukaryota, Metazoa, Chordata, Actinopteri, Perciformes, Gasterosteidae. The record is from RefSeq and is a predicted model, not a curated record.